UGGGGAAUAUUGCACAAUGGGCGCAAGCCUGAUGCAGCCAUGCCGCGUGUGUGAAGAAGGCCUUCGGGUUGUAAAGCACUUUCAGCGGGGAGGAAGGCGUUAAGGUUAAUAACCUUGGCGAUUGACGUUACCCGCAGAGGAAGCACCGGCUAACUCCGUGCCAGCAGCCGCGGUAAUACGGAGGGUGCAAGCGUUAAUCGGAAUUACUGGGCGUAAAGCGCACGCAGGCGGUCUGUCAAGUCGGAUGUGAAAUCCCCGGGCUCAACCUGGGAACUGCAUUCGAAACUGGCAGGCUAUAGUCUUGUAGAGAGGGGUAGAAUUCCAGGUGUGGCGGUGAAAUGCGUAGAGAUCUGGAGGAAUACCGGUGGCGAAGGCGGCCCCCUGGACAAAGACUGACGCUCAGGUGCGAAAGCGUGGGGAGCAAACAGG
This 429-nucleotide ribosomal RNA is filed under the name Chloroflexota bacterium. Its description in RNAcentral is "Chloroflexi bacterium partial 16S ribosomal RNA". It matches the Rfam family "Bacterial small subunit ribosomal RNA", at positions 355 to 776 of the family's 1533-position model. Lineage: Bacteria; Bacillati; Chloroflexota. The record is from RNAcentral.